Long non-coding RNA from Chinchilla lanigera (long-tailed chinchilla), 1698 nucleotides. RefSeq lists it as uncharacterized. Lineage: Eukaryota; Metazoa; Chordata; Mammalia; Rodentia; Chinchillidae. The transcript is spliced from 3 exons. The record is from RefSeq and is a predicted model, not a curated record.
AGUUUCCACCCACUAUAAGCGAAGUGAGUUUAGCUUUCUCUUAAUACACACAAGGAUCGGAACGUCAGGAGUGAAACAAGCAAAGAACUGACGGGGGUUUCCUCAGCUUUCACACAAUGGAAACCUGUGAGUUCCCAAACAUGCUAGGAAGGCACAAGGGCAGUGCAGAAAAGACGAAACUGGAAACGAACAUGUAGGAACAGAGGUGCCAUGGAAGCUCGUCAGGGAACAGGAGAUUCCGUGCUGAUUCUGAGGAGGUGAACACAUGGAGAGCCAGGAGCAACCUCGCCAUUUCUGCAGAGCUCGGUUCAAACUGGACCAAAUGGUGAAUCAGCAGCAAAAACGCAGAAGGGAAGAAAGCCACAGUCAGUGUAAGCAUGAACCUGAUGGAGUAUGACUCUACCACAAAGAAGGAGAAAGCUGAGACACUUUUAGGUGCUAAUGUAAAAAGAAGAGUCACCAGGACAGGGUGAUCGCCCUGUCUGCUGGAGUUUGCUUAUCAGUUUACCGGACACCAUGUCGCUGGAUGAAGACACAAGGGGCACCAACAAAACAUACAAAGUCUCAGCACUGAAUUCGUGUCCGAGGAAACCGGAGAUGUUACUGAUCUGUCUUUGCUUUUUGUGCGGCUGGCGUUGCAACAAUUUUACAUGAGCACUGGGGAGGAAGCAGCUGUGAGCUUCCCCGUGAUCUGCAGGGAUGAACACGGCACUGCCCACUGGGUCUCCACCACCACCAGGAGCGGGGAAGGCGCAAACUCCGCACAGCUUCAGACACAGGCCUGCCUCCCACAGGCCCUUCUCUGGACCCGUGCAGACCGGACACCUUCUGUCCACCUGAAGACAAGGCUGGCUGCGAAUCCCCGCUCCGUGCACGUUGUCAGAUUCCACAUCGUUGCUUCCUGGGGUAUUUCAACCCGGGUUGAAAACACACAUCCCACUUCCAGGCAUCUGCUUCACGUUUCCUGGACGGCCCGGUAAUGUGUUUGUUUAACUCACUGCGGGUUAGGCUAUAGAUUUUGCAGUGGCCUACCAACACAGGCCCCCGGCUGUUUGUUUUUUUAAGUUUUUGUCUUAUCUCAUUUCCUCUGAAAAGCCCCACUUUUCACAGCGUAGCUGAAGCCUGAAUAAGCUGUUCUCUGAGUCCCGUCUACACGUCUCACCAAAGUAUGAGGCUAAAGUAUUUGCAGUUGAAAAUCAUAAACCAGCCUGCACUGCAGCAUUUCGUCAAGUGGCCGAAGAGCGAGCAGGCGUGUGGGAAGAGCACAGCAAACCGCACGGAGCCGGCCGUCCGUCUUCUUGCCCUCUCGUCGGUGCGCGAAGCGAAGCGGGGUGAAGGGCAGUGAAUCGCAGUACGCAGGUAGCACCCGGGAACUAGUUAAAAUGCACAUUCUCAGACCACAUCCUCAGGAUUCAAACUCAGGACAGCGGGGCCAGGCCUGGGACUCGGACUUUCUACCAAACCAUGCACCCCGCCUCCCCCAUUUUGAUGAAAUGGUUUGUGGACUGGGGUGUGAAUAAGCUCCAGUGGAGUGGUGACAUUCUGGCAUUCGGAAGGCUCAGGUCUGGCUUCAAGUCCUGGCUUAGCUGGUGCCUGGCUGGGAGACCUUCCAAACCCGUUUCCUUCAAAUGUGGACAAACUAAAAGUUUUGUGAGACUUUAGUGGAAUGUUCAAUAAAGAGCAGCUCUUAUUUUUAAA